This 401-nucleotide transfer-messenger RNA is filed under the name Anaerolineales. Its description in RNAcentral is "JAFGNH01 sp016927115 Standard tmRNA". It matches the Rfam family "transfer-messenger RNA". Rfam says of the family: Bacterial tmRNA, also known as 10Sa RNA or SsrA, is named for its dual tRNA and mRNA-like properties. Its role is to liberate the mRNA from a stalled ribosome. To accomplish this part of the tmRNA is used as a reading frame that ends in a translation stop signal. The record is from RNAcentral. Lineage: Bacteria; Bacillati; Chloroflexota; Anaerolineae. RNAcentral also lists the same sequence under 1 other name.
GGGGAUGAUCGGUUUCGACGGAGGUGGAUGAAUUCGGACUGCAGGUCGAGAGGCGCCGAGCUCGAAAAUCAGCGCAAAAAACUAAGUGCCAAAAGCACAAACUCCUACGCUGCUCUUCCACUGGCUGCAUAAGUCAGUUGAGCGCGUAUGGCUUUCCUAAGGGAGAGCCCGCUGCACUGCUACCUGCCCCGACCGGCGGCAAAUGCAGCGACAAAAUGGCCGGGGUGCGCUGCAGGUUUUCACGCCCUGUGGCUGAACACAGCCUUCGGGCUGUAGUGAAUCGGGAGAUCUAUGUGUGUCGCCCAGGCAUCUGUCUCCCAAAACUUACUGAGCGACUAAACCUGUAGAGGUCUGUCUAUCUAAACUUUCGGACGCGGGUUCGAUUCCCGCCAUCUCCACCU